Columba livia (rock pigeon) is the source of this 2847-nucleotide long non-coding RNA. RefSeq lists it as uncharacterized. The transcript has 2 exons. The record is from RefSeq and is a predicted model, not a curated record. Lineage: Eukaryota; Metazoa; Chordata; Aves; Columbiformes; Columbidae.
CAAUCUACCCUCACCUGUCCCUCAGAGUCAGCUCAAGACCCUCACACGGGGCUCGCCACAGUCCUUGCUGCAGAGGAGAACCCAGGGUUACGUGGGUCACAAGUUGAGCAUGGGUCAGUUAUGUGUUAGGAUUUCAAAACAGACAAAUGGUGUCCUGGAAGGUGCUAAUAACAGGGCAUAGGCCAAAGAAGAUAAUUUCUGGGCUUCUGUUUAGCACUUGAGUUUUCUUCCACUUUUGGAAUAGUCCAGUUUGGGGUGACAUGUUUUUAAAAGAAUGGAAAGCUAGAGAGACCUGAUAGAAAAGCCAUGGAGAUGACAGGCAGUUCAGAAAUCCUGAGUCCUGAGAAACGACAGAAGGAAGUUAGGCUGAAAAAAAAAAAGAAAAGAGGAAACAGCGGAAAGGGGAAAUAAAGUAGUCUGCUGAGUAUAUUUUCAGUUGUCUUGAAGUUGAUUAAACUGUUGCCUAUGUCCAGUGCAGGUAUAAAAUUAAGAAGCAAUUACAUCAAUUUGUAACAAGAGAGAUUUACAUUAACAAUUAGAAAAAAAUUAUAGUUAGAAGGGGAAUGCAGUAGUAUGAGGGCAUGCUACCUUCUGUCAUUGUGGAAUUACCUUCAUUGGAAGCUGUUAAGAAAUAAGCAUCUGUCAGGAAUAGCUGGUGCUGGGGAAUGGAGUAAAUGAUACCAGGAAAUCCCUUCCAGCUAUAGAUGUGUAAGUCUUGUUAAUGCUGUCAAAAUUCAGGAAGAAUUAUAUUUACUUUGCUCAGAUGCAAUGACAGAUAUAUAUGACCUUUCCCACCAAUUUAACAAUAUGCCUACCUUUUUUUUUCCCCUAGAGCUUGCAUUGCACAACCAGAGUCAGACAAGUAAAUUGCACUGGAGGCUGGAACCCCCUUGUGCCUGACUGCCAAUGUGCAAGUACCUGUCUUGGACAAGGACCAUGCUGCCUUCCUCUGUGCAUUCUCACUUCUGUCCUGGAUCACUGCACUCAUAAGAACAAAGACAUGGGAUCGAGUGCACCCUCCACAAGUUUGCAGGUGACACCAAGCUGGGUUGUGCAGUUGACACACCUGAAGGACAGGAUGCCAUCCAGAGAGACCUGGACAAGCUUGAGAAGUGAGCCCAUGCAAACCUCAUGAGCUUCAACAAGGCCCUGCACCUGGGUCAGGGCAACUCCCAGUAUCCACACAGGCUGGGGGAUGAAGGGGUUGAGAGCAGCCUUGCCAAGAAGGCCCUUAAGGUGAACGAAAGAUUGGACGUGAGCCAGCAAUGUGUGCUUGCAGCCCAGAAAGCCAGUUGUAUCUCAGGCUGCAUCAAAAGGAACGUGGCCAACAGGUCGAGGGAGGUGAAUCUGUCCCUUUGCUCUGGGAAGACCUGGAGUUCUGCAUCCAGCUCUGGAGCCCUCAGUACAGGGAAGACAUGGACCUGCUGGAGAGGGGCCAGAGGAGGCCACAAAAAUGAUCAGAGGGCUGGAGCCCCUCUCCUAUGAGCACAGGCUGAGAGAGUUGGGGUUGUCCAGCCUGGAAAAGAGACUGGUCUAGGGAGACAUCAUUGCAGCCUUUCAGUGCUUAAAAUGAGCCUAUAAGAAAGAUGGGGACAUCGAUUUUGUAGCAGAGUGAUUCAAACAUUGAAUUAUUUCUCAGAGGAUCGCAAAUUUCUACAUCCCUUGCCCUAUGUUUCUCUUGCGUUGUUGCACCAUCUAGUGGCUACUUGGAGGUUUUGUCUGAAUUAGAAGUUCACGGGCUGCCAAAGUUACAUUACUGGACAGAAACAAAAUUAUACAAGAUCUAAUUAGUUUUAGGUUGGAAGGAAGCCCAACCAUGAAGAUGAACUUCAUGAUGAGCUUUAGGAUUCCUUUAAAGAAAAAUCUGCAACACUGGCCACAUCCAAGCAUUUUUGAAACUUUGGAAUUACUAGCUCAAUCAGAGAGAAGUUACAAAGCUUGCACCUCUCCUCAGGUGACCUUGGGCACCAUUUCUGUUCAUUCCUUUUAAAAGGUAGUGGAGGUAGGGAAUAUCAAUAGUCACAAGCAAGACCACUGUGAGCACACCCCAAAUAUAACUUCCAGAAACUGCCACUACUCUGACAAGAAAUUCAGUUCUUGUGUCGUCUUGGUCCCCAGCUGCUACAGUGGGAACAUCUGUUUUUUGAACAGUAUUAAAGAAGAGCAGCACACAAGACCAACGCCAGAUUUGGAGAAUCCUCUUGACAUCCAUGACUAACCAGUAACCAGCCAGCUACUGGCAGCUGUAGUCACAGUCCCACUGACUGUGGUGAGCUGAGCAUCUUCUACUCCACCCUCAGCAGAAGAAAACACCACAUCAACUAACAGGAAUCUUCCUGUAGCCACCAGGUUCCUCUUCAACAUCUGCAAUAAGAAAAAACAAACAAACAACAAAACAAAAACCCCACACACCUACGAAGCAAAGUAAAAGCCAGACCAAACCCAGUUACAAGCAUACUUCCUAUAACAUACACUGCUGAACCUCAACUGGUCCUGAAGCUCUUACCUCAUAUAGAUGCCUCUGCUUCUCUACCUCAGACACCUCAAAAGCUGCAAACCACUACAGGAACAAAAGAGCAGGAGAACAUCAGAGCAGCCCAGGAGCAGAAUUAUGAGAGGCUGUGGCUCAUAUACCUCAGGCUCCACCCACCACCCUUACCACAAUCACCUGGGCCCUUGCUGGAAAUGACAAUAUCUGCUCUUUUACUAUAUCUAAUGCAACUGCAAUAUGACUGAGUAGGGAUUUAAACUUAAUUUUCCUAAGGCAUAGAUAGAAAAAGAUAGAUGUCAUACUAAGCUGUAUAAAAAUGUAGCUCAUUAAAUGCAGUAACUAUAUUAUUAUUAAAA